UACAGAGGAUGCAAGCGUUAUCCGGAAUGAUUGGGCGUAAAGCGUCUGUAGGUGGCUUUUUAAGUCCGCCGUCAAAUCCCAGGGCUCAACUCUGGACAGGCGGUGGAAACUACCAAGCUGGAGUACGGUAGGGGCAGAGGGAAUUUCCGGUGGAGCGGUGAAAUGCGUAGAUAUCAGGAGGAACACCGGUGGCGAAGGCGGGUCUCUGGGCCGAUACUGACACUGAGGAGCGAAAGCGUGGGGAGCGAACAGG
This 253-nucleotide ribosomal RNA is filed under the name uncultured bacterium. Its description in RNAcentral is "partial 16S ribosomal RNA". It matches the Rfam family "Bacterial small subunit ribosomal RNA", at positions 524 to 776 of the family's 1533-position model. The record is from RNAcentral.